CCUACGGGGGGCAGCAGUGAGGAAUAUUGGUCAAUGGGCGAGAGCCUGAACCAGCCAAGUCGCGUGAGGGAGUACUGCCCUAUGGGUUGUAAACCUCUUUUGUCGGGGAGCAAAAGCCGGACGUGUCCGGCUGUGAGAGUACCCGAAUAAAAAGCAUCGGCUAACUUCGUGCCAGCAGCCGCGGUCAUACGGAGGAUGCGAGCGUUAUCCGGAUUUAUUGGGUUUAAAGGGUGCUCAGGCGGAUUUUUAAGUCAGCGGUAAAAUCGUGGGGCUCAACCCCAUCCAGCCGUUGAAACUGGGGAUCUAGAGUGUGCGAGAGGUAUGCGGAAUGCGUGGUGUAGCGGUGAAAUGCAUAGAUAUCACGCAGAACCCCGAUUGCGAAGGCAGCAUACCGGUGCACAACUGACGCUCAGGCACGAAAGCGUGGGUAUCGAACAGGAUUAGAUACCCCGGUAGUC
This 458-nucleotide ribosomal RNA is filed under the name uncultured bacterium. Its description in RNAcentral is "partial 16S ribosomal RNA". It matches the Rfam family "Bacterial small subunit ribosomal RNA", at positions 338 to 795 of the family's 1533-position model. The record is from RNAcentral.